This 1346-nucleotide ribosomal RNA is filed under the name uncultured bacterium. Its description in RNAcentral is "bacterial SSU rRNA". It matches the Rfam family "Bacterial small subunit ribosomal RNA", at positions 28 to 1381 of the family's 1533-position model. The record is from RNAcentral.
GACGAACGCUGGCGGCGUGCUUAACACAUGCAAGUCGAACGGAAAGGCCCUGCUUUUGUGGGGUGCUCGAGUGGCGAACGGGUGAGUAACACGUGAGUAACCUGCCCUUGACUUUGGGAUAACUUCAGGAAACUGGGGCUAAUACCGGAUAGGAGCUCCUGCUGCAUGGUGGGGGUUGGAAAGUUUCGGCGGUUGGGGAUGGACUCGCGGCUUAUCAGCUUGUUGGUGGGGUAGUGGCUUACCAAGGCUUUGACGGGUAGCCGGCCUGAGAGGGUGACCGGCCACAUUGGGACUGAGAUACGGCCCAGACUCCUACGGGAGGCAGCAGUGGGGAAUAUUGCACAAUGGGCGGAAGCCUGAUGCAGCAACGCCGCGUGCGGGAUGACGGCCUUCGGGUUGUAAACCGCUUUCGCCUGUGACGAAGCGUGAGUGACGGUAAUGGGUAAAGAAGCACCGGCUAACUACGUGCCAGCAGCCGCGGUGAUACGUAGGGUGCGAGCGUUGUCCGGAUUUAUUGGGCGUAAAGGGCUCGUAGGUGGUUGAUCGCGUCGGAAGUGUAAUCUUGGGGCUUAACCCUGAGCGUGCUUUCGAUACGGGUUGACUUGAGGAAGGUAGGGGAGAAUGGAAUUCCUGGUGGAGCGGUGGAAUGCGCAGAUAUCAAGAGGAACACCAGUGGCGAAGGCGGUUCUCUGGGCCUUUCCUGACGUUGAGGAGCGAAAGCGUGGGGAGCGAACAGGCUUAGAUACCCUGGUAGUCCACGCUGUAAACGGUGGGUACUAGGUGUGGGGUCCAUUCCACGGGUUCCGUGCCGUAGCUAACGCUUUAAGUACCCCGCCUGGGGAGUACGGCCGCAAGGCUAAAACUCAAAGGAAUUGACGGGGCCCCGCACAAGCGGCGGAGCAUGCGGAUUAAUUCGAUGCAACGCGUAGAACCUUACCUGGGUUUGACAUGGAUCGGGAGUGCUCAGAGAUGGGUGUGCCUCUUUUGGGGUCGGUUCACAGGUGGUGCAUGCCUGUCGUCAGCUCGUGUCGUGAGAUGUUGGGUUAAGUCCCGCAACGAGCGCAACCCUUGUUCACUGUUGCCAGCACGUUAUGGUGGGGACUCAGUGGAGACCGCCGGGGUCAACUCGGAGGAAGGUGGGGAUGACGUCAAGUCCUCAUGCCCCUUAUGUCCAGGGCUUCACGCAUGCUACAAUGGCUGGUACAGAGAGUGGCGAGCCUGUGAGGGUGAGCGAAUCUCGGAAAGCCGGUCUCAGUUCGGAUUGGGGUCUGCAACUCGACCUCAUGAAGUCGGAGUCGCUAGUAAUCGCAGAUCAGCAACGCUGCGGUGAAUACGUUCCCGGGGCU